RNAcentral lists this ribosomal RNA (287 nucleotides) under uncultured Bacteroidota bacterium. RNAcentral describes it as "uncultured Bacteroidetes bacterium partial 16S ribosomal RNA". It matches the Rfam family "Bacterial small subunit ribosomal RNA", at positions 28 to 310 of the family's 1533-position model. The record is from RNAcentral. Lineage: Bacteria; Pseudomonadati; Bacteroidota.
GAUGAACGCUAGCGGGAGGCUUAACACAUGCAAGUCGUGGGGCAGCAUAGGGUAGCAAUACUCUGAUGGCGACCGGCGCACGGGUGAGUAACGCGUAUGCAACCUACCCAGUACAGGGGGAUAGCCCGGAGAAAUUCGGAUUAAUACCCCAUAAUGAUAUUUUGAGGCAUCUUAGAAUAUUUAAAGCUUCGGCGGUACUGGAUGGGCAUGCGUAAGAUUAGCUAGUUGGUAGGGUAACGGCCUACCAAGGCUCCGAUCUUUAGGGGUCCUGAGAGGGUGAUCCCCCA